CCCGCCCCGCCCGCUGGCUGGCCCGGCCCGCACGAGCGCCAGGAGCCUGGAAGAGCCCCGCGCCGGCACAGCGGACUCCAGCCCGACGGAGCGGCCGCGCCCGGACCAGGCCAGCGGAGGCUACACGUCUGUGAGAUGUGCUGGGAGCCUUUUUCCACGGUGACCCUUGAAAAGGGUGCGAACCUUCACAUCGCUACUUUCCAACAGGUGUCUUCCUUCUGGCGUGCUUCCCGCUGCUCUGCGCGCCCUCUUCAUCCGCACUAACUUGCGGCCAGGAUCGUAGAAGGGCUAGCGGAGGAGGGUCAACCAGAAAGGCGACGCUCCCGAGACCCACAACCAGUGUCAC
Molecule: long non-coding RNA, 346 nt
Organism: Ochotona princeps (American pika)
Lineage: Eukaryota; Metazoa; Chordata; Mammalia; Lagomorpha; Ochotonidae
Exons: 4
Source: RefSeq, a predicted model, not a curated record